RNAcentral lists this ribosomal RNA (497 nucleotides) under uncultured bacterium. Its description in RNAcentral is "partial 16S ribosomal RNA". It matches the Rfam family "Bacterial small subunit ribosomal RNA", at positions 28 to 507 of the family's 1533-position model. The record is from RNAcentral.
GAUGAACGCUGGCGGCGUGCCUAAUACAUGCAAGUCGAGCGAACGGACGAUAAGCUUGCUUCUCUGAUGUUAGCGGCGGACGGGUGAGUAACACGUGGAUAACCUACCUAUAAGACUGGGAUAACUUCGGGAAACCGGAUCUAAUACCGGAUGAUAUUUUGAACCGCAUGGUUCAAAAGUGAAAGACGGUCUUGCUGUCACUUAUAGAUGGAUCCGCGCUGCAUUAGCUAGUUGGUAAGGUAACGGCUUACCAAGGCAACGAUGCAUAGCCGACCUGAGAGGGUGAUCGGCCACACUGGAACUGAGACACGGUCCAGACUCCUACGGGAGGCAGCAGUAGGGAAUCUUCCGCAAUGGGCGAAAGCCUGACGGAGCAACGCCGCGUGAGUGAUGAAGGUCUUCGGAUCGUAAAACUCUGUUAUUAGGGAAGAACAUAUGUGUAAGUAACUGUGCACAUCUUGACGGUACCUAAUCAGAAAGCCACGGCUAACUACGUG